UACGUAGGGGGCAAGCGUUGUCCGGAUUUAUUGGGCGUAAAGGGUGUGUAGGCGGCCAUGUAAGUCAGUUGUGAAAGCCCCGGGCUCAACCCGGGAAGUGCUUCUGAUACUGCUUGGCUUGAGUAUUGGAGAGGUGAGUGGAAUUCCGGGUGUAGUGGUGAAAUACGUAGAUAUCUGGAGGAACACCGGCGGCGAAGGCGGCUCACUGGCCAUAUACUGACGCUGAAACACGAAAGCGUGGGUAGCAAACAGG
This 253-nucleotide ribosomal RNA is filed under the name uncultured bacterium. RNAcentral describes it as "partial 16S ribosomal RNA". It matches the Rfam family "Bacterial small subunit ribosomal RNA", at positions 524 to 776 of the family's 1533-position model. The record is from RNAcentral.